UCGCGCGGCGCGCCGCAGGUCGCACGGCGCGGGCCUGCGAGGCCGGCCGCGAUGCAGCCGCCGACGGUGGCCGCGCGUCCGAAGUGCGGCGGCUCGAAC
RNAcentral lists this transfer RNA (99 nucleotides) under Burkholderia multivorans. Its description in RNAcentral is "tRNA-Arg". The record is from RNAcentral. Lineage: Bacteria; Pseudomonadati; Pseudomonadota; Betaproteobacteria; Burkholderiales; Burkholderiaceae.